GGUAAUACGCUGGAUUCGUUAUCGUAUACUGAGGCGUCGGUAUCAACGAGGGUACGCUAUUGCGGCACCGCCCCAGUCGUAAAUCUGCCGUAGUAAUCAGCCACUCCCCGCCGCGGUCAGGCCAGCCGCUUCCUGAGUAAAGCCCCGCUCCCAUGGUGUGACGAGCCCGGUGUGUGGGGCCGAGGCACGUAUUCGCCGCGACGUCGCUGAUCCAUGAUGGCGGUCCCGACUUGCAUGAUCGAGUGUAAUUACUGAUCAGGCCGCAAUCAAUUUCUGCAGGAUUGGCUCCCCUCGCGAGUUGGCGACCCUCUGUCCGACGCGUGUAUGGCGUGUGAAAGCCCUACCCAUAAAGCCAUGAGGCUGUACGUCAUCCCCGCCUUCACUCCAAUUUGUCGCCAGCAGUCUCGUCAAAGACGCACUUUCGUGGCAACUAAUGACGAGGUUGCGCUCGUUGCGGGGCUUAACCCAACAUCUCGCGGCACUGAAGCUGACAGCAAUAUGCAACCGCCUAUGUUGAUUAUACUGGCAAGCCUUUCCCAAAUCUCUCUUCGAGGCCCAGGCAAUGUCGAGAGUAAAUGAGAUUUUUCGCGUGCAUCGAAAUUAAUCGCAUCAUCCGCCGCUGUGCGUCCCGUCAAUUCGCUGAGUUUUAAUCUUAUGACCGUACUUUCCCAGGCGGUCAACCGCGCGAUGGCCUUGCGCCCGCAAGGCCAAAGCCCCAGCCAAUGGUCGGCAUCGUUAGGCGUGGGCUACCGGGAGUAUCUAAUCCUGUUUGCUCCCCGCGCUUUCGUGCAUGAGCGUCCGGUGUUAUCCCGGGGGGCUGCUUCGCCGUCGGUGUUCCUCCGCGUAUCUGCGCAUUCAUAUGCUGCAUGAAAUUCCGCCUCCCCUCUGACGCACUCUAGCUCGGCAAUUAAAGAAAUGCCGAUUCGAAAUUAAACUCUAGAAUUCGCAUCUUUCUUUGACCGCCUGCUAUACGCUUGCGUGAUAAUUCCGAUCAGCAGCUGCCUUCGGUAAUGCCGCCCGGCCUAGCAGCGCGUGAAUAUUGAUAGCAAUCUAUAAGGAGUAUGAUCUGAUUAACGCGAGUAUUAUCGUGCCGUUUCUCACCUUGAAAGUCUUUACCAGCCCGAAAGCCUUCAUCGCGCAUGAAGAUGGCACAGAUCGGGGUUUCCCCGUUGUCCCGAAAUUCCCCGCUGCCGCCUCAGAAGGAGUCUGGAGGCCGUGUCACCAGUCCCAGUGUGGUAGUCGUCCUCUGAAGCCAGCUGCAGUCGUCGCCUUGGUAGGCCGUUGCCCACGCCGGCUAAUCCGAUAUCGGCCGCUCUAUUGGUGCGAGGCAAAGUCCGCUUUCCCCGAGGGCGUAUGCGUAUUGGCUGCGCUUUCGCGUAGUUAUCCCCGCGCUGCUAGGCGCGUUCCGUGCAUUACUCGCCCGUUCGCCACUCGCCCAUGAGCCGAAGUCCGUGCUGCCGUUCGACUUGCAUGUGUAAAACAUCCCGCCGGCGUUCAAUCACGAGCCAUAAUCGACC
This 1517-nucleotide ribosomal RNA is filed under the name uncultured Bordetella sp. RNAcentral's name for it is "partial 16S-23S ribosomal RNA intergenic spacer". The record is from RNAcentral. Lineage: Bacteria; Pseudomonadati; Pseudomonadota; Betaproteobacteria; Burkholderiales; Alcaligenaceae.